This 253-nucleotide ribosomal RNA is filed under the name uncultured bacterium. RNAcentral's name for it is "partial 16S ribosomal RNA". It matches the Rfam family "Bacterial small subunit ribosomal RNA", at positions 524 to 776 of the family's 1533-position model. The record is from RNAcentral.
UACAGAGGUCUCGAGCGUUGUUCGGAUUCAUUGGGCGUAAAGGGUGCGUAGGCGGUUGGGUAAGUCAGACGUGAAAUUCCAGGGCUCAACCCUGAAACUGCGUUUGAUACUGCCUGACUAGAGUACUGGAGAGGAGACUGGAAUUCACGGUGUAGCAGUGAAAUGCGUAGAUAUCGUGAGGAAGACCAGUGGCGAAGGCGAGUCUCUGGACAGUAACUGACGCUGAGGCACGAAGGCCAGGGGAGCAAACGGG